Fervidicola ferrireducens is the source of this 131-nucleotide regulatory RNA element. It matches the Rfam family "PyrR binding site". Rfam says of the family: This family represents the PyrR binding site and terminator structure. This RNA structure is found upstream of a variety of genes involved in pyrimidine biosynthesis and transport. The record is from Rfam. NCBI's taxonomy places the organism in Bacteria, Bacillati, Bacillota, Clostridia, Thermosediminibacterales, Thermosediminibacteraceae.
CAAGCCUUUAAACUGGUCCUGUGAGGCUAGUAAGGCAAAGGGAAGAAAAAAGAAAGCCUUUCUCUGCCUGACAGAGGAAGGCUUUUUUUAUAAGAAAGCCCCUGCUGCCUCACAGCAGGGGUUUAAAUUUU